AGUGAACGCUGGCGGUAGGCCUAACACAUGCAAGUCGAACGGCAGCACAGGAGAGCUUGCUCUCUGGGUGGCGAGUGGCGGACGGGUGAGGAAUACAUCGGAAUCUACUCUGUCGUGGGGGAUAACGUAGGGAAACUUACGCUAAUACCGCAUACGACCUACGGGUGAAAGCAGGGGACCUUCGGGCCUUGCGCGAUUGAAUGAGCCGAUGGCGGAUUAGCUAGUUGGCGGGGUAAAGGCCCACCAAGGCAACGAUCCGUAGCUGGUCUGAGAGGAUGAUCAGCCACACUGGAACUGAGACACGGUCCAGACUCCUACGGGAGGCAGCAGUGGGGAAUAUUGGACAAUGGGCGCAAGCCUGAUCCAGCCAUACCGCGUGGGUGAAGAAGGCCUUCGGGUUGUAAAGCCCUUUUGUUGGGAAAGAAAUCCAGCUGGCUAAUACCCGGUUGGGAUGACGGUACCCAAAGAAUAAGCGCCGGCUAACUUCGUGCCAGCCGCCGCGGUAA
Molecule: ribosomal RNA, 506 nt
Filed under: uncultured bacterium
Lineage: Bacteria
Description: partial 16S ribosomal RNA
Rfam family: Bacterial small subunit ribosomal RNA
Source: RNAcentral